This is a long non-coding RNA of Oncorhynchus keta (chum salmon), 1108 nucleotides long. RefSeq lists it as uncharacterized. Lineage: Eukaryota; Metazoa; Chordata; Actinopteri; Salmoniformes; Salmonidae. The record is from RefSeq and is a predicted model, not a curated record. The transcript has 3 exons.
UGAGAGUCGGGAUGGUUAUUAGUCUGUCUGCAUGUGGGGAAUGAGUCGGGAUGGUUAUUAGGUGGAGGUGGAGAGAUCCGCUAGUCUGUCUGCGCGUGGGGAAUGAGAGUCGGGAUGGUUAUUAGGCGGAGGUGGAGAGAUCCGCUAGUCUGUCUGCGCGUGGGGAAUGAGAGUCGGGAUGGUUAUUAGGCGGAGGUGGAGAGAUCCGCUAGUCUGUCUGCGCGUGGGGAAUGAGAGUCGGGAUGGUUAUUAGGCGGAGGUGGAGAGAUCCGCUAGUCUGUCUGCGCGUGGGGAAUGAGAGUCGGGAUGGUUAUUAGGCGGAGGUGGAGAGAUCCGCUAGUCUGUCUGCGCGUGGGGAAUGAGAGUCGGGAUGGUUAUUAGGCGGAGGUGGAGAGAUCCGCUAGUCUGUCUGCGCGUGGGGAAUGAGAGUCGGGAUGGUUAUUAGGCGGAGGUGGAGAGAUCCGCUAGUCUGUCUGCGCGUGGGGAAUGAGAGUCGGGAUGGUUAUUAGGCGGAGGUGGAGAGAUCCGCUAGUCUGUCUGCGCGUGGGGAAUGAGAGUCGGGAUGGUUAUUAGGCGGAGGUGGAGAGAUCCGCUAGUCUGUCUGCGCGUGGGGAAUGAGAGUCGGGAUGGUUAUUAGGCGGAGGUGGAGAGAUCCGCUAGUCUGUCUGCGCGUGGGGAAUGAGAGUCGGGAUGGUUAUUAGGCGGAGGUGGAGAGAUCCGCUAGUCUGUCUGCGCGUGGGGAAUGAGAGUCGGGAUGGUUAUUAGGCGGAGGUGGAGAGAUCCGCUAGUCUGUCUGCGCGUGGGGAAUGAGAGUCGGGAUGGUUAUUAGGCGGAGGUGGAGAGAUCCGCUAGUCUGUCUGCGCGUGGGGAAUGAGAGUCGGGAUGGUUAUUAGGCGGAGGUGGAGAGAUCCGCUAGUCUGUCUGCGCGUGGGGAAUGAGAGUCGGGAUGGUUAUUAGGCGGAGGUGGAGAGAUCCGCUAGUCUGUCUGCGCGUGGGGAAUGAGAGUCGGGAUGGUUAUUAGGCGGAGGUGGAGAGAUCCGCUAGUCUGUCUGCGCGUGGGGAAUGAGAGUCGGGAUGGUUAUUAGGCGGAGGUGGAGAGAUCCGCUAG